Molecule: transfer RNA, 87 nt
Filed under: Deltaproteobacteria bacterium
Lineage: Bacteria; Pseudomonadati; Myxococcota; Myxococcia
Description: tRNA-Tyr
Rfam family: tRNA
About the family: Transfer RNA (tRNA) molecules are approximately 80 nucleotides in length. Their secondary structure includes four short double-helical elements and three loops (D, anti-codon, and T loops).
Source: RNAcentral
GGAGGGGUGCCCGAGUGGUUAAAGGGAGCAGACUGUAAAUCUGCCGACCUGGUGUCUACAGAGGUUCGAAUCCUCUCCCCUCCACCA